AACUUUUGGCAAUGUAUCACUUGGCUCUGGCAUCGAUUAAGAACGCAGCGAAAUGCGAUAAGUAAUGUGAAUUGCAGAAUCCAGUGAAUCAUCGAAUCUUUGAACGCACAUUGCGCCCGCCAGUACUCUGGCGGGCAUGCCUGUCCGAGCGUCAUUUCAACCCUCGAGCACCGCUCGGCGUUGGGGACCUACAGCGCACAGCGUAGCCCCCUAAAACCACCGGCGACGCCGCCGCGGCUCUUUUGCGUAGUACUAUUUCUCGCACUGGACCGCUGCCGUGCCUGCCGCUAAAACCGCUGCUACGGCACACAUACACAAGGUUGACCUCGGAUCAGGUAGGAAUACCCGCUGAACUUAAGCAUAUCAAUAAGCGGAGGCU
Molecule: unclassified non-coding RNA, 379 nt
Filed under: uncultured Hypocreales
Lineage: Eukaryota; Fungi; Ascomycota; Sordariomycetes; Hypocreales
Description: sequence contains ITS2
Rfam family: 5.8S ribosomal RNA (bases 1-154)
Source: RNAcentral